RNAcentral lists this ribosomal RNA (471 nucleotides) under uncultured organism. RNAcentral's name for it is "partial 16S ribosomal RNA". It matches the Rfam family "Bacterial small subunit ribosomal RNA", at positions 334 to 797 of the family's 1533-position model. The record is from RNAcentral.
CACUCCUACGGGAGGCAGCAGUGGGGAAUUUUGGACGAUGGGCGAAAGCCUGAUCCAGCCAUGCCGCGUGCAGGAUGAAGGCCUUCGGGUUGUAAACUGCUUUUGUACGGAACGAAACGGCCUUUUCUAAUAAAGAGGGCUAAUGACGGUACCGUAAGAAUAAGCACCGGCUAACUACGUGCCAGCAGCCGCGGUAAUACGUAGGGUGCAAGCGUUAAUCGGAAUUACUGGGCGUAAAGCGUGCGCAGGCGGUUAUGUAAGACAGUUGUGAAAUCCCCGGGCUCAACCUGGGAACUGCAUCUGUGACUGCAUAGCUAGAGUACGGUAGAGGGGGAUGGAAUUCCGCGUGUAGCAGUGAAAUGCGUAGAUAUGCGGAGGAACACCGAUGGCGAAGGCAAUCCCCUGGACCUGUACUGACGCUCAUGCACGAAAGCGUGGGGAGCAAACAGGAUUAGAAACCCUUGUAGUCCC